UCAAGAGAAAAAAAAUUUUAUUUUGAUGAGUUUGAGUGAUGAUAAGUUUGAAUGAUUCUAGUGAAAGCAUCCUGAUCCGUGAUUGUCAGGUAGUAUGCCAUCACCUUGAUCAGACCAUGAAUCCUUAGAUUUGAUCAUCCAUGAUCCCGAUCUAGCCAUGACUUGAUUAGAUUAUGUUGAUUUCACCAAUCGAGAUAUUGGACCAAUCGUAAU
RNAcentral lists this long non-coding RNA (213 nucleotides) under Elaeis guineensis (African oil palm). RNAcentral describes it as "long non-coding RNA (EGUI_LNC025927)". Lineage: Eukaryota; Viridiplantae; Streptophyta; Magnoliopsida; Arecales; Arecaceae. The record is from RNAcentral.